ACACAUGCAAGUCGAGGGGAAACGACAUCGAAAGCUUGCUUUCGAUGGGCGUCGACCGGCGCACGGUGAGUAACGCGUAUCCAACCUGCCCAUCACUUGGGGAUAACCUUGCGAAAGUAAGACUAAUACCCAAUGACGUCUCUAGAAGACAUCUGAAGGAGAUUAAAGAUUUAUCGGUGAUGGAUGGGGAUGCGUCUGAUUAGCUUGUUGGCGGGGUAACGGCCCACCAAGGCGACGAUCAGUAGGGGUUCUGAGAGGAAGGUCCCCCACAUUGGAACUGAGACACGGUCCAAACUCCUACGGGAGGCAGCAGUGAGGAAUAUUGGUCAAUGGGCGAGAGCCUGAACCAGCCAAGUAGCGUGCAGGAUGACGGCCCUAUGGGUUGUAAACUGCUUUUAUAAGGGAAUAAAGUGAGCCUCGUGAGGCUUUUUGCAUGUACCUUAUGAAUAAGGACCGGCUAAUUCCGUGCCAGCAGCCGCGGUAAUACGGAAGGUCCGGGCGUUAUCCGGAUUUAUUGGGUUUAAAGGGAGCGUAGGCCGGAGAUUAAGCGUGUUGUGAAAUGUAGACGCUCAACGUCUGCACUGCAGCGCGAACUGGUUUCCUUGAGUACGCACAAAGUGGGCGGAAUUCGUGGUGUAGCGGUGAAAUGCUUAGAUAUCACGAAGAACUCCGAUUGCGAAGGCAGCUCACUGGAGCGCAACUGACGCUGAAGCUCGAAAGUGCGGGUAUCGAACAGGAUUAGAUACCCUGGUAGUCCGCACGGUAAACGAUGGAUGCCCGCUGUUGGUCUGAAUAGGUCAGCGGCCAA
This 808-nucleotide ribosomal RNA is filed under the name uncultured bacterium. RNAcentral describes it as "bacterial SSU rRNA". It matches the Rfam family "Bacterial small subunit ribosomal RNA", at positions 51 to 850 of the family's 1533-position model. The record is from RNAcentral.